GAUGAACGCUGGCGGCGUGCCUAAUACAUGCAAGUCGAGCGAACGGACGAGAAGCUUGCUUCUCUGAUGUUAGCGGCGGACGGGUGAGUAACACGUGGAUAACCUACCUAUAAGACUGGGAUAACUUCGGGAAACCGGAUCUAAUACCGGAUAAUAUUUUGAACCGCAUGGUUCAAAAGUGAAAGACGGUCUUGCUGUCACUUAUAGAUGUAUCCGCGCUGCAUUAGCUAGUUGGUAAGGUAACGGCUUACCAAGGCAACGAUGCAUAGCUGACCUGAGAGGGUGAUCGGCCACACUGGAACUGAGACACGGUCCAGACUCCUACGGGAGGCAGCAGUAGGGAAUCUUCCGCAAUGGGCGAAAGCCUGACGGAGCAACGCCGCGUGAGUGAUGAAGGUCUUCGGAUCGUAAAACUCUGUUAUUAGGGAAGAACAUAUGUGUAAGUAACUGUGCACAUCUUGACGGUACCUAAUCAGAAAGCCACGGCUAACUACGUG
RNAcentral lists this ribosomal RNA (497 nucleotides) under uncultured bacterium. RNAcentral describes it as "partial 16S ribosomal RNA". It matches the Rfam family "Bacterial small subunit ribosomal RNA", at positions 28 to 507 of the family's 1533-position model. The record is from RNAcentral.